UUUAUUUAAUUCUGGUUAUGGGAAGGUUAAAGGCAGGUUUACAUAAGAAGUUUAUUUUGUAUUGAAUGCGGGGUGUUUGAUCGUGUUGUUCUUAGUAGUUAGGUCUUGGAGAUAGAGGGAACUCUGGUCGGGCUGUCUUUAGUGUAGUGGUGAAUGCUCAGUGCCAGCAUCCGCGGUUAUUCUGUUAGCUUUUUUUCCGGGGUAUUAGGUAUAAAAUGUUUAAAAUUAAGAUUUAGGUUUGAGUAAAAUCUUCCUAUUGUUGAAAAGAGAUUUUAAUGUUUUGGAUUUGUUAUGAUAAAAAAGGAUUAGAUACCCUUGUAUAUAUAACUUAAGUUUUUGUCCAUAGUAGUAAACUAAAAGGAUUUGGCAGCCGAUAAAAUUCUGCCGGGGGAAUGUGUAUCAUAAUAGAUGGUCCGCUUAGUAUUUUACCUUGGCUACUUUUGUUAGUGUAUAUCCGGUUUAAAAUUUGUGAUUAGUGUCUACAAGUGUAAUUUGAGGUAUUUAAGCCAGGUCAAUGUGCUGCUAAUGCUAAGGAGCUUAUGCGUUACUGUAGGAAAAGUAUUAUUGGGAGGAUGAUGAUAAUAUUUAGGACUCGGAAGUAGGUGGGUAUGUGUUAAUUUAGUUAGUGCUUUGCAUCGAAGAGGAUUUUAGUUGGGGUACACACCGCCCGUCGCCCAAAGCGUUAGCUGUGGUAAGUCGUAACAUGGUAAUGCUGGAGGAAUCUGGUGUUAGUUGUCUUGUGAGUUUAUUUUGCAAUUGAUG
This 762-nucleotide ribosomal RNA is filed under the name Fasciola jacksoni. RNAcentral describes it as "12S ribosomal RNA". The record is from RNAcentral. Lineage: Eukaryota; Metazoa; Platyhelminthes; Trematoda; Plagiorchiida; Fasciolidae.